GAUGAACGCUGGCGGCGUGCCUAAUACAUGCAAGUCGAGCGAACGGACGAGAAGCUUGCUUCUCUGAUGUUAGCGGCGGACGGGUGAGUAACACGUGGAUAACCUACCCAUAAGACUGGGAUAACUUCGGGAAACCGGAGCUAAUACCGGAUAAUAUUUUGAACCGCAUGGUUCAAAAGUGAAAGACGGUCUUGCUGUCACUUAUAGAUGGAUCCGCGCUGCAUUAGCUAGUUGGUAAGGUAACGGCUUACCAAGGCAACGAUGCAUAGCCGACCUGAGAGGGUGAUCGGCCACACUGGAACUGAGACACGGUCCAGACUCCUACGGGAGGCAGCAGUAGGGAAUCUUCCGCAAUGGGCGAAAGCCUGACGGAGCAACGCCGCGUGAGUGAUGAAGGUCUUCGGAUCGUAAAACUCUGUUAUUAGGGAAGAACAUAUGUGUAAGUAACUGUGCACAUCUUGACGGUACCUAAUCAGAAAGCCACGGCUAACUACGUGCCAGCAGCCGCGGUAAUACGUAGGUGGCAAGCGUUAUCCGGAAUUAUUGGGCGUAAAGCGCGCGUAGGCGGUUUUUUAAGUCUGAUGUGAAAGCCCACGGCUCAACCGUGGAGGGUCAUUGGAAACUGGAAAACUUGAGUGCAGAAGAGGAAAGUGGAAUUCCAUGUGUAGCGGUGAAAUGCGCAGAGAUAUGGAGGAACACCAGUGGCGAAGGCGACUUUCUGGUCUGUAACUGACGCUGAUGUGCGAAAGCGUGGGGAUCAAACAGG
RNAcentral lists this ribosomal RNA (766 nucleotides) under Staphylococcus aureus. RNAcentral's name for it is "bacterial SSU rRNA". It matches the Rfam family "Bacterial small subunit ribosomal RNA", at positions 28 to 776 of the family's 1533-position model. The record is from RNAcentral. Lineage: Bacteria; Bacillati; Bacillota; Bacilli; Caryophanales; Staphylococcaceae.